UACGAGUGGUGCAAACGUUAUUCGGAAUCACUGGGCUUAAAGGGUGCGUAGGCGGCUACGAUAGUCAGGUGUGAAAUCCCUCGGCUCAACCGAGGAACUGCACUUGAAACUGCGUAGCUUGAGGAAGACAGAGGUGAGCGGAACUGAUGGUGGAGCGGUGAAAUGCGUUGAUAUCAUCAGGAACACCGGUGGCGAAGGCGGCUCACUGGGUCUUAUCUGACGCUGAGGCACGAAAGCCAGGGGAGCAAACGGG
This 253-nucleotide ribosomal RNA is filed under the name uncultured bacterium. RNAcentral describes it as "partial 16S ribosomal RNA". It matches the Rfam family "Bacterial small subunit ribosomal RNA", at positions 524 to 776 of the family's 1533-position model. The record is from RNAcentral.